Long non-coding RNA from Amphiprion ocellaris (clown anemonefish), 623 nucleotides. Lineage: Eukaryota; Metazoa; Chordata; Actinopteri; Pomacentridae. The record is from Ensembl.
GCCGUCCUCUCUCUUACAAAAAUAUAACAUGAAUUUAAUCAGUAGAUAAGGGUGAAUGAUUAUUAGACGUUAGUGGAACAUUUCGGCAUUGGAUAGUUUUCGUUAGCUUCGUAAUUCUGUCUCUCGGCUUUCACAGUUGAUGCUAGCUAGUUUAACUUCGGCUAAUUGUACGUUCAGAACGCUGCUACGUUUUGGUACGUGCUCAGCACAAGUUUCAGGAACAACAAUUUUAGCAUUGUACAUUUGUUAUUCUGUCACUCGGUUUUCACAGUCGAUUGAACUUGCUACAAGGCAUGCAUGGAGGGAAUCCACUGAUUCCAGCGUCACCAAACCCUCUGGAAAGAACAAAAGUAAACAGGCUCCCACCGUGUCCAGCUGGAUUCAACUGCCUUGAAAUCGGCACAUCGAUUUUGGCAGUGACGUCAGCGAUGGACUCCACGGCGCAGAAACGGCUGCCAAUUUCAAGCACAUCUGAUUCACAGUAAGAGACGGCCUGCCACACACACUGGUGCCAUCUUGCAUUCAAAUGUUGCUGAAGCUUUCAGAAUUUUUGGGGACCAAAAUGAAUGCGAGUUAACAAGACUCAUCAACUCAGACUGUAGAAGGAUGUUACAAGUCUUUUG